Molecule: ribosomal RNA, 130 nt
Filed under: uncultured bacterium
Lineage: Bacteria
Description: partial 16S ribosomal RNA
Source: RNAcentral
GUACCUUCAGACCAGAUAGUUAUUCGCUAUCUAGCUUUAUUCCCUACUGACAGAGCUUUACAACCACUAGGGCCUUCAUCGCUCACGCGGCGUCGCUCGGUCAGGCUUUCGCCCAUUGCCGAAGCUUCUC